GAGUCGCACUGCGUUGCCAGAUUCAGACGCGGCCAUGCGUGAGUCCCCGAGGCUCCUUGCGGGCCGGCGUCCCAAGCCGAGGGUAGUGGCGACCUGCUUUCCAGAAAGGCCGCACAACAGGCUCAGCUCUGCUCGCGAGCAGGAGGCGACGGCAGAGGAAACUUCAACUCGAUAAAGUUCCCGGUCGCGGGAACAUUUGCCUCCUCCUGCCACUCACCGCCUCUGCUCUGGUCCCUCCCUCCAGGAAUCUUCAUAGCGUCCUUUCGCCCCACCCUCUCUCAUCCCGCGUCUUCCAUAUUUGCCCCAGCUUGGCUCAGGGCCACAGUUCUGCACUCUUAAGCGGGCGGCGCCACCUGCAGUUGUUUCUACGCGGGAAAUAGGGCAGCCGCAUCCCCGCACUGCCGAGUGCCCAAGGAUGGUAAGCCGGGGAGGGCAAGCAGCUUCUUUUCAGGGAUUCUGAUCUCACUCUAGAAACAGGUGUAAUGAUGGCACUUCACUCAGAAGUUUGUCCUGAGGCUUAAAUGAGGCAACGUGGACACAGCAUUUUAGCACAGGGCCAGAUUUGAUGGUGGUGUUGUUUAAGAAGAAAGUCCUUAUUCUUAGGAGAAUGCUGCU
Molecule: long non-coding RNA, 615 nt
Organism: Mandrillus leucophaeus (drill)
Lineage: Eukaryota; Metazoa; Chordata; Mammalia; Primates; Cercopithecidae
Exons: 3
Source: RefSeq, a predicted model, not a curated record